This is a non-coding RNA of Cricetulus griseus (Chinese hamster), 1710 nucleotides long. Lineage: Eukaryota; Metazoa; Chordata; Mammalia; Rodentia; Cricetidae. The record is from RefSeq and is a predicted model, not a curated record.
UUUUUUUUUUGUAUUGAGGGCCAACUGCGUUCGAAAGUCUGUGGGAGCGCGCGGCUUCCUCCUGACACACCCGUCGGGAGCUCCGCCCACCCCCCCACCGGAUGAGUCCUGCAAAAGAGGGGAGGAAAGGAGGCUGUUGAUUGGAGAAACUGCGGGGUGAGGGGGCGUGGCGAGCGUUGGUGGGCGGAGCGGGGCAUGCUCGGCCCCGCCCCCAACAGAAGAGGUUAGGGGCAGGCGUCUGCCGAUUGGAGAAGCGUCGGGGACGGUCGCUGCUGGUCAGGGAGGGCGCCACAUCGCCCUACCCCGCCCUCCCGCCCGCGGCCCGCUGUGACUGUUGGGCCGGAGUUCCCGCGCGGAGCCUGUUUAAAGGGCCGCGGCCGGGACCGCCCUCUCCUGAGCUAGGGGCCCGCAAAGCACGGUAUUUUUGUUUUUGAGAUGAUUCUCAACAUAGCCCUGGAUGUUGUGAAGCUCACUUCGUAGACCAGGCUGGCCUGGAACUCAGAGUCCCCUGCCCCUCGGCUGCUAGGACUAAGGCAUGCGCCACCACGCCUGCCUAAGGGCAGGGUUGUUAAUGGACUCCCGUGACCAGCCUGGCUAAGGAUGAGUCCCUGCCGCGUUCCCUGACGCCUGGGGCGGGGGCUUGCUGCCGUGCUCCGCACCGCGGUGGGGUGCACCAACGACCAUGCGCUCAGGAGGAGGCGUCGGCUCGCUCCGUUCCUGUCUGUGCACCCCACCCCUGGACAGCGGCAAAACCCAGGCCAGCCUCCUCGUGGUUCCGGCUCGCUCAGUCUGAUGCUGGUAGCGGCUCAAAGACUUGAAUCGAUGAAUAAAUGAAGUGGUUAAAGGACGGAACUGGUAACCGGGGCUCUCAUUUGCUGUAUUUUCCAGACAGCCUAAUCCUAGCUGCGGUUCAGUGAAGAUUUUCAUAUUGGAUGACUAUCCAGGGGUCAAUCGAUAAAAAUGGUAACUCCAUCAUGAGAGCAAACAUAAACCUCUUAAUACAAAGCUAUGCCUAAUGUUUUAGAGGAAAUUGACUGCCCAAGUUAACAAAUCAAAGCAGCCAGUCGUGUGAGUCUUAUGUUUUAUUAAGUGGAGAAAUAAUUUUUGUUUAAACAAAAUAUAUCUGGCAAGACACACAAAUCUGACUUCAUAGAAAGUAACGGGAACAUAAGUGAAAAUCUUUCAAGAGGAUACACUGAAUAAUUUGUGUCUGUCAAGUGAGAAGUGAAACCUAAUGAUGUAUAAUAACUCUGAAGACACACUAAAACAUCCGUCUCAGUCUGGGCAGUGGCAGCACAUCCCUUUCGUCCCAGCACUCAGGAGGCAGAGUCAUCCCAGGGGAUCCCUAACCAAGCUGACUAGGGAGACUGGCACCAUCGGCAAGCUCCGGGUUUGAUUGAGAUGCCCUACUACAAUCAAUAAGAUGGGAGAGGAAUUGAGAAUAAUUCCUGACAUCAACCUUGGACCUCCACAUGUGUAGUGAGAGAUUCACCCUGCCUCACCUGUGGUGCUGACCACACCUGUUUGGGCAUGAUCACAGGUGAGCAAGUGGUAUUUGGUCUGGGAUCCUGGACAGGUUUGCUCUCUCUUGGUUCCGGUCAGGUCAUAGUGAGCAGCCUGGGUGUGGCUCCUCGGAGCAGGAACUUGCGGAUCAUCAGUUUCUUAUGUAACUGACUUCUCCCCAAAUAAAUUUAACCUAUAUUUAGCCAA